GAUGAACGCUGGCGGCGUGCCUAAUACAUGCAAGUCGAGCGAACGGACGAGAAGCUUGCUUCUCUGAUGUUAGCGGCGGACGGGUGAGUAACACGUGGAUAACCUACCUAUAAGACUGGGAUAACUUCGGGAAACCGGAGCUAAUACCGGAUAAUAUUUUGAACCGCAUGGUUCAACAGUGAAAGACGUUCUUGCUGUCACUUAUAGAUGGAUCCGCGCUGCAUUAGCUAGUUGGUAAGGUAACGGCUUACCAAGGCAACGAUGCAUAGCCGACCUGAGAGGAUGAUCGGCCACACUGGAACUGAGACACGGUCCAGACUCCUACGGGAGGCAGCAGUAGGGAAUCUUGCGCAAUGGGCGAAAGCCUGACGGAGCAACGCCGCGUGAGUGAUGAAGGUCUUCGGAUCGUAAAACUCUGUUAGUAGGGAAGAACAGAUGUGUAAGUAACUGUGCACAUCUUGACGGUACCUAAUCAGAAAGCCACGGCUAACUACGUG
Molecule: ribosomal RNA, 497 nt
Filed under: uncultured bacterium
Lineage: Bacteria
Description: partial 16S ribosomal RNA
Rfam family: Bacterial small subunit ribosomal RNA
Source: RNAcentral